GAUGUGUUUGAGCUUUUGAUUUUGCCAUUAGAUUAGGCCCUGUCCCUUUAGAUUUUUCCUCGGAGUUCAAUAUUUUUAUUUUAUUUUACUUUUUAUCUUCAGUGGGGUGUGAAUAAGGGAUAUCAUCAUUAUUAGUGGAUCACUUGAAUGUGUUAUCAUCAGUAGUGUAAAUUUCAAGAGACAGAAUUAGUGUUGUGUAAAUUUAUUUGGCUUUACUUUG
RNAcentral lists this long non-coding RNA (220 nucleotides) under Mytilus galloprovincialis (Mediterranean mussel). The record is from RNAcentral. Lineage: Eukaryota; Metazoa; Mollusca; Bivalvia; Mytilida; Mytilidae.